Molecule: ribosomal RNA, 452 nt
Filed under: uncultured bacterium
Lineage: Bacteria
Description: bacterial SSU rRNA
Rfam family: Bacterial small subunit ribosomal RNA
Source: RNAcentral
AACGAACGCUGGCGGCAGGCCUAACACAUGCAAGUCGAACGCCGUAGCAAUACGGAGUGGCAGACGGGUGAGUAACACGUGGGAACAUACCCUUCGGUUCGGAAUAACUCAGGGAAACUUGAGCUAAUACCGGAUACGUCCGCGAGGAGAAAGAUUCAUCGCCGGAGGAUUGGCCCGCGUCUGAUUAGCUUGUUGGUGAGGUAACGGCUCACCAAGGCGACGAUCAGUAGCUGGUCUGAGAGGAUGAUCAGCCACAUUGGGACUGAGACACGGCCCAAACUCCUACGGGAGGCAGCAGUGGGGAAUAUUGGACAAUGGGCGCAAGCCUGAUCCAGCCAUGCCGCGUGAGUGAUGAAGGCCCUAGGGUUGUAAAGCUCUUUUUACCCGGGGAAGAUAAUGACUGUACCGGGAGAAUAAGCCCCGGCUAACUUCGUGCCAGCCGCCGCCGUAAC